Telopea speciosissima is the source of this 164-nucleotide small nucleolar RNA. NCBI's taxonomy places the organism in Eukaryota, Viridiplantae, Streptophyta, Magnoliopsida, Proteales, Proteaceae. The record is from RefSeq and is a predicted model, not a curated record.
GAGCAAGGGCGUCAAAAUUAUAAGAUGACAUGAUAUUUGCAUUGAAGGUUGGUGAUGACGUGAUAUUUGCAUUGAAGGUUGGUGAUAUUGACUAGAAGUUGCGAUUCUCCGUGCCUUGCAAAUCUCUCUUGUUUUGAUUAUGGCCUCGAACAAGUCGCUACAAU